UUACUUAUUUUUAAAUUGUGUUUUGCCUGCAUGUAUGCAUGUCUGUGUGAGGGUACCAGAUAUUGGAGUUAUAGAGGGUUGGGUCUUCUGGAAGAGCAGUUGGUGCUCUUAACUACCAAGCUAUCUCUCUAGGUCCACCAUGUGGAUACUGGGAAUUUCAUCCAGGACCUCUGGAAGAGCAGUCAGUGCUUUUAAUUACUGAGCCAUCCUUCUAGCCCCAAUUUCAUUAUCUUUUUUUAUUUUUAUUUAUUUUUAUUUUUUAUUUUUUAUUUUCUUAGUGGUGGGCACACUGGCAUGCACCCCAGCAUUUGGAAGGCAGAAGAAGGAGAAUCUCUGUGAGUUCAAAGCCAGCCUGUUCUCCAUAGUGUAGUUCUAGGACAAUCAGGGCUACAUAAACCCUAUGUACACAAAUACAAUUCUUGCUCUAUUUACCUAUUUUGUGUGUCUGUGUGUCUGUGUGCAUGUCUGUGUGUGGUCCACUUGGAGAUCAGAGAACAAUUUGAGAGCAUUAGUUCUCUCCUUCCAACAUGUGGGUUUCAGGGUUGGAAAUCAGGUUUUCGGGCUUGAUAAGCAAUGUCUUAACCUGCUAAGCCUUUUGGCCAGUCCUGUUUUGAUUUAGUCUUUACUCUUUUCAGUGUUUCUUACCUCUGUAUAAAUACUUGUAUUCUUUUGCUUUUAAAUUCUUUUCCUCUUUUGUUCUAGUUUUAGAGUUGUUGACUCAGUAAGGUUUGAAAGGAGAUUGAUUAAAUAAUCAUACAAAUAUGGUUUGAUAAUUUGGUCAGGAUAAAAAAGGGAAGUUGCUUGUUAAGAUCUUCUGUAAUGUUUGUACAGGUCACUUACUAGGUAUCAUAGAGGAGAAUUUAAUUGCUGCUAAUCUGUAUUUUCAUACCUAGAUUUUUCUGUAGUGAAAGUAUGCAUUGAGUGAUUGAGUCAGUGAUUUGCAUUUCAUUGUUUACUUGGAAGAAUAGUAGUAUGUAUGUAUUCAUUUUAUUUUGAGGUAGGGUGUUGUGUAUGCCAGGCUGGGUUAUAUAGCCAAAACUGGCCUUGAACUCCUGACAUGCUACCUCCACCUCCCAAGUACAGGAAUUACAAGCAUGCACCAUUAUGCUUGGCUUUUUUUGGUUAGUUUUCUUGAGACAUAAAAUCUCACUGUGUAGACCAGGACAGCCUGAAACUCACAGAACUUCUCCUCCUGCCUUUGCUCCUCAAGUGCUUAAUUAAAGGAGUAUAUCACCAGGCUUAGUUGGCUUUUUAUUUACUUUUUUUUAUUAUUAUUUUUUGAGCUAGGAUCUCAUGUAACCCAAACUUGCCUAGAACUCUUGGUAUAGCCGAGGAGAAUCUUAAAUUCCUUAUCCUUCUACCGCUACCUCUCCAAUGCUGAGAUAUUACAGGUAUAGACCAUUAUGCACUGUUAACAUUCUGUUUGUUUCACACUUUUCUUGGUAUGGAUUAAAGGGUGCUUCUAGGGAUACUAGCAAAGUUAUGUGAUAGAGAGAAGUGAAUAAGUGUAUUUUAGUAAGUAUGAGGAAAAAAUCCAGUCAGAAAGAAAAGUGAUAAGUGUUUUGUUAAAAACAUUGAUCUAGCUGGGCAAUGGCAGCAUUGCUGCUUUAAUCCCAACACUCAGGAGGCAAAGGCAAGCAGAUCUCUUGAGUUUGAGUUCAAGGACAGCCUGGUCUAUAGGACAGCCAGAACUACACAGAGAAACUCUGUCUCUAAGUAACUAACUAACACUGAUCUAAUGUGAUUAUAGGUAUUAAUCCUAGCACUUGAAUAGUAGAGGCAGGAAGAUCAGGAGUUCAAAGUUGGCCUGUAAUUACUAGAUAAAACAUUUGAGGUCAUCCUGGGCUACCUGAGAUUCUGUCUCCAAAUACCAGGAUUGGCAAAAUAUCAUGGCAGUCAAAAUGCUUGCUAUGAAGGCCUGGUGACCUGAGUUUAAUCUCUGAACUCCAUGUAAAGAUGUAAGGAAAGAACCAAUUCCCAAAGUUACCUUCUGACCUUCAUGUCUGUAUUGAUGCAUCAUACAUACAUAUAUACAUAUCAUAAUUUUAAAAAGAAUUUAAAGCAAAACAAAAACCUGUGCUCAUUUUUGGAUUUUUCUUCUUUUUUUAAUAUUUAUUUUGUGUGUGCAUACACUGCUACAACUUUUUUUAAAAUAAUUUUUAAAAUUUAUUUAUUACAUGUAUAUGAGUACAGUGUAGCUGUCUUCAGAUACCCAAGAAGAGGGCAUCAGAUCCCAUUACAGAUGGUUGUGAGUCACCAUGUGGUUACUGGGAAUUGAACUCAGGACCUCUGGAAGAGCAGUCAGUGCUCUUAACCGCUGAGCCAUCUCUCCAGCCCCCUGCCACAGCUUUUGAGUAGAGGUUUGAGGACAGCUUGAAAGGGUCAGUGCUCUCCUUCCAACUCUGUGAGCUCCAGGGGUUGACUCGGACUGUGGAGGCAGACACCCUAACUUGCUGCGCUGGCCUGCAUGCAUUUGUUUUCAUCCUGCUGUUUUGGAACUGGGCCUUGGUUUUGUGUGUGAUUUUUGUUUGUUAGUUUGAUUUGCUUGUCAAUAUUGUAAUCUUUGUUUUUUGUUUUUAAUUUCUAUUUCUAAUGGUACUGCUGCUGAUUUUACUUCAGUCUGCCAUACAAUUUAAAAUUGUUCCCGUCUUCAGAGAGCUUUCUUCCUUUAGCUCUAGCCCUCCAGAAGGAGGUGAAAAUUGUACUGUAAAGUAUUUUAUAGCAAGAAUAGUUAGGAUCCCCAAAAUAGUGACUUUCUUGGCAGUUAAAAGGUAGAAAGGCUCCACUUUGUGUUAAUUUUAGAGCAGUCUACAUUACUUGCUGCUUCUCUGUAGGAGUUAGAGCCUGCCCCAGCAUUGAUUGUCUUGAGGCUUCUGGAUAAGUGGUUGUGAAAAGAAUCUUCAUUCCUGCCAGGCAGUGGUGGCGUAAGCCUUUUUUUUUUUUUUGUCCCAGCACUUGGGAGGCAGAGGCAGGCAGAUCUCUGAGUUUGAGGCCAGUCUGGUCUACAGAGUGAGUUUCAGGAUAGCCAGGGCUACACAGAGAAACCUUGUCUGGAACCCCCCUCCCCCC
This 3069-nucleotide long non-coding RNA is filed under the name Mus musculus (house mouse). RNAcentral's name for it is "long non-coding RNA chr8:106064100-106067169". The record is from RNAcentral. Lineage: Eukaryota; Metazoa; Chordata; Mammalia; Rodentia; Muridae.